This 216-nucleotide long non-coding RNA is filed under the name Ananas comosus (pineapple). RNAcentral describes it as "long non-coding RNA (ACOM_LNC007251)". The record is from RNAcentral. Lineage: Eukaryota; Viridiplantae; Streptophyta; Magnoliopsida; Poales; Bromeliaceae.
UAAUCAGCCUAUACGUGUCAUGUCUGCUAAUCAACACGUCCAAACCACACUAACAUGCACCAUGACGCAAAUGAAACAUCAGAUCCACAAACUGACUUCUAGAACUAAGCCCAACGACUAGUCGUCUCAUCAGAGAAUCACAACAACACUUCCGCUAUCCCAAGACAUAAUACUUUAGGUGUACGGACAGCCAAACGCCAAGUUCUCGACAAACUG